Molecule: ribosomal RNA, 253 nt
Filed under: uncultured bacterium
Lineage: Bacteria
Description: partial 16S ribosomal RNA
Rfam family: Bacterial small subunit ribosomal RNA
Source: RNAcentral
UACAGAGGGUGCUAGCGUUGUUCGGAAUCAUUGGGCGUAAAGGGCGUGUAGGCGGUUUGUUAAGUCAUGUGUGAAAUCCCUCGGCUCAACCGGGGAACGACGCAUGAAACUGGCAAGCUAGAGUACCAAAGAGGGGGGUGGAAUUCCCGGUGUAGCGGUGAAAUGCGUAGAGAUGGGGGAGAACACUCGUGGCGAAGGCGGCCAGCUAGACCAGUUCUGACACUGAGGCGCGACAGCGUGGGGAGCAAACAGG